GAUCCGGGGGGGCGGUCCGCCUCACGGCGAGUACUGCUCCGCCAGGUCUUACCUCUUGGUGAGCCGGCAUGCCCUUCGCUGGGUGUGUCGAGGAACCAGGACUGUUACCUUGAGAAAAUUAGAGUGUUCAAAGCAGGCCUGCGCCUGAAUACGUUAGCAUGGAAUAAUAGAAUAGGACGUGCGGUUCUAUUUUGUUGGUUUCUAGAGUCGCCGUA
Molecule: ribosomal RNA, 215 nt
Filed under: uncultured fungus
Lineage: Eukaryota; Fungi
Description: partial small subunit ribosomal RNA
Rfam family: Eukaryotic small subunit ribosomal RNA (bases 91-215)
Source: RNAcentral